This 468-nucleotide ribosomal RNA is filed under the name uncultured bacterium. RNAcentral's name for it is "partial 16S ribosomal RNA". It matches the Rfam family "Bacterial small subunit ribosomal RNA", at positions 28 to 507 of the family's 1533-position model. The record is from RNAcentral.
GACGAACGCUGGCGGCGUGCUUAACACAUGCAAGUCGAACGGAAAGGCCCUGCUUUUGUGGGGUGCUCGAGUGGCGAACGGGUGAGUAACACGUGAGUAACCUGCCCUUGACUUUGGGAUAACUUCAGGAAACUGGGGCUAAUACCGGAUAGGAGCUCCUGCUGCAUGGUGGGGGUUGGAAAGUUUCGGCGGUUGGGGAUGGACUCGCGGCUUAUCAGCUUGUUGGUGGGGGAGUGGCUUACCAAGGCUUUGACGGGUAGCCGGCCUGAGAGGGUGACCGGCCACAUGGGGACUGAGAUACGGCCCAGACUCCUACGGGAGGCAGCAGUGGGGAAUAUUGCACAAUGGGCGGAAGCCUGAUGCAGCAACGCCGCGUGCGGGAUGACGGCCUGCGGGUUGUAAAACGCUUUCGCCUGUGACGAAGCGUGAGUGACGGUAAUGGGUAAAGAAGCACCGGCUAACUACGUG